This 7986-nucleotide long non-coding RNA is filed under the name Sorghum bicolor (sorghum). RNAcentral's name for it is "long non-coding RNA (SBIC_LNC011571)". Lineage: Eukaryota; Viridiplantae; Streptophyta; Magnoliopsida; Poales; Poaceae. The record is from RNAcentral.
GUGCCUGUUUAAACAUUCCUUUUGUCCUCACCCUUCUUCCUUAUCCUUAGAUCCUCUCACCCAGCCAUGCAUGAUCCUACAUUCAGCAGUAUUUCUCUCUUACAAAUCAGUGAACAGUACUUUCAGCCAUGACUUUUCAGCAAAACAAACAUGCUCAUAAUGUUAUUAUUGGACGUACAACAUUCCUACUUGUCCAAUAAUAACACGAAACCUCCUAUUUCUUCCACCCCACCACGCCCAACACCACAAAAAAUAUCCUCCCUUGCUUGCCAGUUGCUCCCACCCUCAACAACGUUGAUAGAGUGGUAGUGCCAGCCCUCUCCCCUUCAGUACUAGCUACAAUGCAAUGUACCUCUCAUCUAACCAUCACUAGCUACAACUGUGCCUUUAUUGUGCCACCUUAUUGUUAGACUCCCUACAGGCCCAAGGCUAUUAGUGGCCCUUGUGGACCUCAAACUCUAGUAGACUUAAGCCCUAACCUUGUAGAAGGUGAAGAAGACGCAAGAGCUAUCAGUGAAGUAGUCCUGCUUUGUACAUAAAACUAGCUCUUGCAGUAGUCCAUGUCAGUAAAAGUUGUGGUAUAUAUUAAUAUAUAUGUGAAUAAUCGAAACAAAGGAACUGUGGACAGAAGGAUACAUACAUACAGUGUGUGAGGUUAACUUUACUACUUUAGUGAUCUCUCUCUUUCCCCUCUGUAGUUUUCAUCUAGAAGAAUAUGUCCCAUACAGUUAUUGUUGCAUAAUGAUGAAUUCUUCUUUUUUUGGCAAGAUCUUAUUUCCCCUGCACCGAUUUCUCUCUCCCUAAAGAUCAUAUGGUGUUCCGCCAUCUUUUUCUCCAAAUGGUGUGAUGUCUCACUGAUAGUGACGACACUUAUACUAUGUGUAGCCUUUAUGUAAAAUACAAGAAUAAUGCCAUUAGUAGAUCCGUUAAUAUUUUAGCUGCACCUUUACACAUUGUCUUCUCUAAAAUUGUACACGAAACGAAAGAGGAAGACUCUUUAAUUCUACCGGCCGGCAGUUUAGUUGGGCUAUAUAUACCCAGGCGUUCAGCAUAUAUUUCCAAUCAUGCCAAUCUAGUACUGUGCCCUACAAGCAUAUAAAGGUGUGGAAAUAGUUGAUAUCGACUUCCCAAAUUUUUGUGGACAUAGAUUCCCUACCUCUUUUUCUCUCCAGAGAGAAAGUGUAUGAAGAGUUCACUAGCAUGCAUGCAUAUUCAUGGUCUAUACUUCGUAGAUUCACUCGAGAGUUCUCUAAUGUGGAACUCUUUCAUCCCCAGUAUCCUACUAUUUUGCAAGUUUCUCGACCAGAGUUGUGGAUGUUCUAUGAUUAAGUCCAUCUAGUCCUUUAGAGGAUUUUGUUGAAUUGAAUAACAAUAGGGUUAAAGGUCUAACAAGAUUACUAAGUGUUUGAAAUAUACAAUAUCAUUUUUGAUCUUGAGUAUAAAUAUGUUGUAUUAUCAGGAUGCAACAUGAAUAGUUUGACAAACCUUAAGUGCUCAACUAAUGGAAUCCGUGUGCUAGCAUGAGAGAAACACAUGACACAACACUUGCACUUGUUGGUCUUGGCGCUUUUUUCAGUUGGUUUGCUUAGCCCUUUUAAUAAGCUUUUUGAAAACUUUAAGAUCAUUAAAAUCGGAGUUCAGAGCUAAAAUUUAUGGUGUUUUUUUGUGGAGUGACAUAUGCUUGUUUUUGGAGCUUAGGAAGUUCCAUAUCUCUAGAAGUUGUAGAGAUUUUUUUCAGAACUUCUAGCCAUGUACGCUCUUUCUAGGUUCAACGGUUAUUUUUCAAAAUCCAGAAGUUCUAGACUUCUUUUUGGAACUUCUGGAUCUUGAUAGGCAUAACAUCUAGUUCGUGAGUGUGAGGUAUUUAUACCCCGAGCCCUCAUUUCGAGGGGUUGCUAAUGCCUCACCACACCCAAAUCUGAUUCAAAAAUCUCUCUAGCUCAACCCCUCUCUGUGAAGAUUGUGUGAUUUAUGAGAAAUUUAGUGCGUUGGGUUGAGAGAUUUAAUGAUUCAGAGCAAAAUUGAGCAAUCAAAAUUCUUAAGCACUUGGAGGUGAAAUGGCAAGGCAUUGCCCGAUAAGUUCUCGUGCUUGUGGUGAGCGGGGGCAGGGAGCUUGUGAAGGCCCAACAUCAUAUCCGAAGAGAUCGAGCUAGUGGAUCGAGGAAAGUGAUUGAGAAAGAAACGCGACUAGAGCUUGACCAUGAGUUGUCGCUCAAGGCUUUCUCAAUGGAGACGUAGGGUUCAAGUGGGAACCCAAAUUUGGUGAAACAAUUCCUUCUAUCAUUUGUGCUUUACUUUGCGUAGUUUUGAAUUCCCACUCAACCAACUUGUGUGUGUUUUUUAGUGCAGGUGUUUUGUGCACUUUCUAGCGGACAUCUCAAAAUGCAAAUCUCCGAGUUCGGUUUGAGUUAGAACUCUCUAAAUGUAUUUUCAUCUGGACUUACUUUUUAAGUCCAGAAGUCCCGAACAAAACUUCUAGACGUCACCCGUAAGUUCUGGACAUUUGUUUGGAAUUUCUAAAGGUUGCUUAAUAUGUUACUUUACAAGUUGUGAUUUAUUUAGCAAACACCUAUUGACCCCUCCCCCUUUCGGCAACAUCUCAGUCCUUUCACUAGGUUGUCUUGUCGAUCUUAGAGCUAUCUUAGACGCAUCUUAUCGUCUUUCGAAGUAGUGGUUCGUUGUUUUUGGGCAAAUCCGCUAAAAACCAACUAGGACGGUUCGAGAAACCAUCCGUCGUAAGUUGCGGGUUCACUUGGAGUUGCUAUGAUUUUGCGGUCUGAGCAUUCAAGCUAUGGUGUGGGAGCUUUACUCUUCCCUCAGCUCCACUCCACUUCUCCAUAGCAGCGGCCCUACCAAACGUUUCAUAAGAGGAGCUACUUUUCAGUGAAAAACAAAGCAGUUGAAGCCAUUUUGGAUGAGUUGUGGAUCCUCCAAAAUGGCUCUGGCUAUUCCGAAGAAGCCCAUCGGGAGGAGCCCUCCCAAAUAUCCCACAUCAACAAAACCGAUAGUCAGAUCUAGCCUAAUGAAUCUAAACUCUCACUGCCAAUUAAGCUGAGUAAAGUCAUACGCUCAGCUAAGCCAACUUGAGUGACGUUUGUCAGGUUAGUUUUUUUCAGACUCGAAAACAGCAAAAUUUGAGUGCAAACAAUUGAGGUAUAUUUGAGUAUAUAAUUAACAUGUUGCUAUCAUUUCUGCAUCGAUCGAUCCAUUGGUAGGGACGGAAGAUUUGAUCAGCCAUCGCUCGGUGAAAGCUCAAAAGGAUGAAAUAAAAGUGCGUAUAUAUAUAUUAUGCAAUUUCUUUUUAGUCCACAGGAAUGGUGUUCGUUGAGGUGCUUAAUCAAUGUCUCCCCAACUAACCGGGUCGCGUUAUAUGUGAUAAUUGAUUCCUUUGUGGCCAUCACUGUCACGAUUAGUGCUUGUGUCUUCUAGAGGGAAAAAACAGUUUAGUUAGCUCCAGCGCUUUCUCUCCAUGUGAAUGCAAAUGACGUGUACACAUAUGCUUACCUCAUCCUUAUUUAUAUAUGUUUUUUCUAGGUUAUUCAUCUUAGGCUUUGUUUAGUUCCCAAUUUUUUUCAAGAUUUUCCGUCACAUCAAAUCUUGCGGCACAUGCAUGAAGCAUUAAAUAUAAACGAAAACAAAAAUUAAUUACACAAUUUGUCUGUAAAUCGCGAGACGAAUCUUUUGACUCUAGUUAGACUAUGAUUGGACAAUAUUUGCCAAAAACAAACGAAAGUGCUACAGUAGCGAAAUCCAAAAAAUUUCGCAAACUGAACCAGGCCUUAUCUUACUAAACCAGAAAGGCUAAAUAACAGACGGUGGUUUCUCGAGCAUGCAACACUCGAUUCGAUUCCUACAGAAAAUCCAGACUCUGUCUCUCUUCUUCUACAAGUCCGGCGGCCAUAAAAGGGGUUCAAGAAAGGAAGGCUAACCAAGCAGUAUAGAGAUGGUGGCAGGGCGGUCUGGGCCCUAGAUCGGGGCAAGAGCGCCCAUAGCCAAAGCUCACCAUGAAAAUUGGAGAUCGAUCAAGCAGGUGAAGAAGGAGGUCAUCGCGGCCGCGCUAGGGUUUCACCAGACCUCUGCAGCCACAACGAGCCGGUGGGCGGCGGCUGGGGCGACGAUGAAGAUGAACAGUGAACAAACACAUUGAGUGUUCUCCCCCCCCUCCCACACACACACAAAAGAAACACUUGAACGUAGGGCCACUAAAAAGAGCCCCUACAUUAGUUCUCACAAGAUGUAUAGAAAACAUAAAUUGUAUAAAUUCUUAUAAUAAAGCAUUUAGUUUGUUAGAAUCUAUAAUUAUCAUCGCCAAUAAUAACUAUUAAAUCUACUAUAUUUUAUAAAAAACUACUCACAUCAGUCUAUAAAAAAUUCUAUAUAGGAGCUAAAUAAUUUUGUAUCUAAAUUAACAAACUCUAUAAUUAAAAAAUAAUUUUAAACUAAAUCAUUGCAUCUGACUUACUCAAAUCAUAAACAUAAUUUAAAAUAACGUCUGAUUUUGUAUCUAAAUUAUUGACCUCUAUAGUUAAUUAUGAAAGAUAAUUCAAAUUCACCACUAUCUUUACAUCUUAAUUAUCAUAUUUGGCAUUAUGAAAGAUAAUAUGGUUUAACCUCUUUGUUUGUACCAAAUUACCCAAUUCAUCAUUGUAAAAAAAUAAAUAAAAUAUUCUUCAUACCUAUAAAUACUAAUAUAUGUUAUUAUGAAAAAUAAUUUAGUAUCACAAAGUAUGCUAUAUAUAUGUUACACAAUUCUACCAUCGUUAAAUUUAAAAAAAAUAUAUACUAAUAUACGCUACUAUAUAUAUAAUAUAUCAAGCAAACAUGUAUGCAUAUAUCAUGAUAAAUAUUUAUCAUAAUAGUUGAUGAAGGAUGGGAAAACGUUCCUUUAACAAACCAUGUACCAGAAACAAUGACAACCCACUUUCAAUUGUAUUAAUACUCCAUGAUAUAAUUGUAUAAGUUCGCACUUUAAAUAAUUACGGAUCUUAAAAUCUGAUAUUUUUUUUCAGCCAAAAAACUAAUAUUUAAAAAAGAACAGGUCGGAAACUCUUUUUUUAUGAACUAACUCUUUUAGUCACGUUAGAGAUCUUGGCGCGACUCGUAACUGUAGUCACGUCAUAUGCAUUGACGUGAUUAACUAGGCACGUUGGCAAUUCCAAAUAAGAACACUAUGUAUAUAAUCAAUCGACAUACUGUAGAACCUUACUGAGGCCUUGUUUAGUUUGGGAAAAAUUUUGGAUUUCGCCACUGUAGCACUUUUGUUUGUUUGUGACAAAUAUUAUCCAAUCAUAGACUAAUUAUGAUCAAAAGAUUCGUCUCGUGAUUUACAGGUAAACUGCAUAAUUAGUUUUUGUUUUCGUCUAUAUUUAAUGCUUCAUGUAUGUGCCGCAAGAUUUGAUGUGACGAAGAAUCUUGAAAAAUUUUGAGAACUAAAGAAGGCCUGAGCCGCGCCAACACGAAUGGCUUGUCGAGCAGCUGCGGCGUCACCCCAAAGCGGUUGGCGUGACCAUGUUUUUAUUCAUAUAUACAGGACUUAGCUUAUGUCCAAUGUUCAUAUGACUGUUUUGAAUUCUUUCUGUUGGGGAUUCGACCGCGCCCUCCCCUGGCUGCUUUGGAAGUAAAAAACGCAAUUCGAUCGCGAUGGUUAAGCUUUCAUGCCCCUAACCUUCGUACAGUAGUGUACAAAGGUUCGGGGGAAAAGUUAGAGCAUCUUUAAGGGCUUUUCAUUCUCAGCUUUGCAUUUUAGGGGAUUUGCAAAGUUGCAAAUGAGUUUGCAAAGUUCCUAAAGGAGAGAUCUCCAACCGUUUUGCAUUCUCAUCAAGUCCUUUCCCGAAAUUUUUUCCCACGCGCCAUCCGGCCUAAAAAUUUCGCGCGCAGUGCCAGAUCGCAGUCCGUGUUCGCGCCAUCGUAGAUCGCAGUCCGUCGUUCCAGUGCCCAUCGUUCCUCGCAGUCCGUCGUUCCAGUGCCCAUCGCCCCGUCUCCCCGUCGCCCAUCGUUCGUCGCCCAUCCCCAAACUCGCCCAGGCCAGUCGGGCGAUCGCCGCCAGUCCACCGAUCAUCGCCCGACUCGCCCAGGAAGCCGCGCGAUGAAGAAGUCGCGUGGCGGCGGCGGAGGGAGAUCGCGGGGGGGGAGAUAAAUCGCGCGGGAGUCCUUUGGCGCGCCGAGUCGGGCAACCGCGAUGCCGCCCAAAAUAUUUCGCGCGAGGGGACCGAGCGGCCUACGUGGCGGACCGAAUUCCUUGCGAAUCCCAAAUGCAAAGCCUUGAGGAGGUUUGCAUAUAUGCAAAGUUUCCACCUCUAUUUGCAAACCUUACCAAAUUGCAAACCUCAUUUGCAAAGCUAUUGGAGAGGUGUUUUCUACUCUUUUUUGCAAAUUGGGCAAUGCAAAGUUGAUUUGCAAAGCCCUUGGAGAUGCUCUUAACAUUAAUGUAGCUUGACUAUGUUCAGGGGAAAAGUUAACAUUAAUGCAGCUUGACCGAAAGAUCAGCACCCAAUGCGGGGAAUUCCAAGAAACAUGCGCCGAUCCUUCGGUCAAUGCUCGAUGAAGGAUGCGGAGCCCCUGACGGAGGCAAGGCGGAGAACUCUGGGCAGGGGGUGCUGAUCCUUCGACGGCUGGACGGUGAAGGAUCCUUGAUCUUUGGUGGAGACAAAGCGAAAGACCGAGCCGUGUUAGGGAAAGGCUCCCGGCAAACCGGCUUGUAAAGCGUUCGAGAUUAGGAAUUACUCAAUUAGCCCUGCGAGCUGUAGUCUCAGGGGGCGGAAUAUGCUAGAAUAUUCUGCCACCGUCAUAAGGUAUUUCAGUAAUGAAUCCCGGUCGGAAUCCGCGCCUUAUAUAAAUAGAUUGUAAAUGCUCCUCAGGGAGUUAGUUGAAAGCAGUUAUUGGGAUCUUCAUUGUUCUAGAGUUUUGAGCUCUCUCUCUCUCUCUCGCCAAUCGAGUCUCCUGGGCCCCGCAGCAAUGAGUGGGGGGCCACCACUAGUCUCCGUUAUCGAAGGUAGGUGAAGCUCCGCCAACACUUUAAAAAAAAUUGUAAAUUCAAGUGUACGCUAGAAAUUUAUUUUACUAGAUGCUAGAAAAUAACCACGAUCCAUUUUACUUGUACAUGGCAUCAUACCUCUUGUAGUUUUGAAAUUAAAAUUCUUCUCGUAAUACUAUAUUUAAGUCUUAGGUUAACCUGUUUAGCCUCAAAAUGGACUCCAAAAAUCUAGAAAAAAAUCCAUCUAAAUUGAUGGUUUGGAAAGUAGUAUUUAUCAUGGUGAUUCUUAGCAUACAUGUUUAGGUCAAAUCUAGAGUUUCUUAACAAAGCUCAUGCUCAAAAUUAAGUUCUGAUUUGAAAAUAAAUUUAAAAGCAUCCCAAAUAAAGUUGGGUAGACUUAGUUAGAGGGUACGUGUAGCCACCACUGAUAUCGCUUGUCGUAGAGAUAUCCAAACAUCAUAAUUAGAAAAAAGAUUCUUUCUUGGUCUCCCUCUCUUGUGUUUGUGGAGAUCAAGAAACUAGAGUGUGCAUCUCUCUAAUCUCACCCCUUCUCACAAGAAGAAAUCCUAGUUUACUUACACAUAUGGCCAAACAAGCUACCCCUAUAAGAGAUUUGGUAGAAGACCAAUGUCCUACUAGUUUACACCACAAUUUGAAUGCCUUCCUCAAGAUCCAAUUAAAAAGUGUGCUCUAAAUGGAGAAAUAGAAUGGGAAUCAAGCAAUCUAGUUAUCAAAACAACUAAAGAGCUACAAAUUCAAAGGAGUGGGUGCUUGUUACUAACCUUAAAGCAAGAAGAUCAUGCCUAUGCUUAAAAAUCCAAGACGUUCAUUAAGCAUUUUGGUAUAGAAUGACCGCAACAAUGGAGGGAGAGGUGGGAAAAGGUGCUCCUUGGCUAAGUGUGCUUGGGAUGGGAGGAACGAGGAAGGAGGAGGUCGGCUUUGUACUGUGCCCAAAGCCACUACUGGUUCAAGCCAAAAACCAGCAGAGAUAGCACAUCAGCACUACCGGUUCA